AACCGUGUACGUACAAGCAGUGGGAGCACCCUUUGGGUGUGACUGCGUACCUUUUGUAUAAUGGGUCAGCGACUUAUAUUCUGUAGCAAGGUUAACCGAAUAGGGGAGCCGGAGGGAAACCGAGUCUUAACCGGGCGUUAAGUUGCAGGGUAUAGACCCGAAACCCGGUGAUCUAGCCAUGGGCAGGUUGAAGGUUGGGUAACACUAACUGGAGGACCGAACCGACUAAUGUUGAAAAAUUAGCGGAUGACCUGUGGCUGGGGGUGAAAGGCCAAUCAAACCGGGAGAUAGCUGGUUCUCCCCGAAAGCUAUUUAGGUAGCGCCUCGUGAAUUCAUCUCCGGGGGUAGAGCACUGUUUCGGCUAGGGGGCCAUCCCGGCUUACCAACCCGAUGCAAACUGCGAAUACCGGAGAAUGUUAUCACGGGAGACACACGGCGGGUGCUAACGUCCGUCGUGAAGAGGGAAACAACCCAGACCGCCAGCUAAGGUCCCAAAGUCAUGGUUAAGUGGGAAACGAUGUGGGAAGGCCCAGACAGCCAGGAUGUUGGCUUAGAAGCAGCCAUCAUUUAAAGAAAGCGUAAUAGCUCACUGGUCGAGUCGGCCUGCGCGGAAGAUGUAACGGGGCUAAACCAUGCACCGAAGCUGCGGCAGCGACACUGUGUGUUGUUGGGUAGGGGAGCGUUCUGUAAGCCUGUGAAGGUGUGUCGUGAGGCAUGCUGGAGGUAU
Molecule: ribosomal RNA, 727 nt
Filed under: Salmonella enterica
Lineage: Bacteria; Pseudomonadati; Pseudomonadota; Gammaproteobacteria; Enterobacterales; Enterobacteriaceae
Description: partial 23S ribosomal RNA
Rfam family: Bacterial large subunit ribosomal RNA
Source: RNAcentral